Molecule: long non-coding RNA, 466 nt
Organism: Pelmatolapia mariae (spotted tilapia)
Lineage: Eukaryota; Metazoa; Chordata; Actinopteri; Cichliformes; Cichlidae
Exons: 3
Source: RefSeq, a predicted model, not a curated record
UAAGUGGCUCAUUGGAGACACGUCACACAUCCACAUUUGCGGAUGGAAGUCCCAACAUUCAAAUGUGUUUUAUCGCAUGCAUCAGAACAAUGAAGAGGAUUUGUGGAUAUACGUUUUGGAGUCACGAAGCUUUCAGAUAGUCGGACGCUGUUCUCAAAGGAGUUAUUGGAAACGUCACCGCCACAGUGACACGAAAAAGAUUGACGCAACAUACACAUCAGAAGCGACUUGAGAUAUGACUGCACUAUGCUGUUGCUGUGACUCCAGUUAAUUCUACAAGACAUGCUGUGACAACAGGAGAGAUGGGUCCUCCGUCACAGAUGGUGUGGUCAGUGAAGAUGGUCUCCUGCAGGUUCAAGCUCAUUGCAUCUCCAACCCACAUCCACUGCCACUCUACUUAAGGGAAGUUAAAGACUAGAGCAGGGCGAUAUGGCCAAAAAUAAUUAUCACCAUAUGUAUUUGAAAA